CCUCAAAUCAGGUAGGACUACCCGCUGAACUUAAGCAUAUCAAUAAGCGGAGGAAAAGAAACUAACAAGGAUUCCCCCAGUAACUGCGAGUGAAGAGGGAAGAGCUCAAAUUUAGAAUCUGGCAGUCUUUGGCUGUCCGAGUUGUAAAUUAGAGAAGUGUUAUCCGCGCUGGACUGUGCAUAAGUCUCUUGGAAAAGGGCAUCAUAGAGGGUGACAAUCCCGUCUUUGGCACAGACUCCCAGGGCUUUUGUGAUGCGCUCUCGAUGAGUCGAGUUGUUUGGGAAUGCAGCUCUAAAUGGGUGGUAAAUUCCAUCUAAAGCUAAAUAUUGGCGAGAAACCGAUAGCGCACAAGUACCGUGAGGGAAAGAUGAAAAGAACUUUGAAAAGAGAGGUAAACAGUACGUGAAAUUGUUGAAAGGGAAACGCUUGGAGCCAGUCGCAUCUUUCAGAAAUCAACCUGACCUUUUGGUAUGGUGUACUUUCUGUUAUGAUGGGUCAGCAUCAAUUUUGAUCGUUGGAUAAAGGCUUUGGGAAAGUGGCAUCUCCGGAUGUGUUAUAGCCCUUGGUUACACAACGGUUGGGAUUGAGGAACUCAGUGCUUUGGCACUCAGGAUGCUGGCAUAAU
Molecule: ribosomal RNA, 625 nt
Filed under: uncultured Basidiomycota
Lineage: Eukaryota; Fungi; Basidiomycota
Description: LSU rRNA
Rfam family: Eukaryotic large subunit ribosomal RNA
Source: RNAcentral